CAGCAGCCACGGGAAUACGUAGGUGGCAAGCGUUGUCCGGAAUUAUUGGGCGUAAAGGGCUCGCAGGCGGUUUCUUAAGUCUGAUGUGAAAGCCCCCGGCUCAACCGGGGAGGGUCAUUGGAAACUGGGAAACUUGAGUGCAGAAGAGGAGAGUGGAAUUCCACGUGUAGCGGUGAAAUGCGUAGAGAUGUGGAGGAACACCAGUGGCGAAGGCGACUCUCUGGUCUGUAACCGACGCUGAGGAGCGAAAGCGUGGGGAGCGAACAGGAUUAGAUACCCCAGUAGUCCCUGUCUCUUAUAC
This 301-nucleotide ribosomal RNA is filed under the name uncultured bacterium. RNAcentral describes it as "partial 16S ribosomal RNA". It matches the Rfam family "Bacterial small subunit ribosomal RNA", at positions 509 to 807 of the family's 1533-position model. The record is from RNAcentral.